Molecule: long non-coding RNA, 4545 nt
Organism: Alligator mississippiensis (American alligator)
Lineage: Eukaryota; Metazoa; Chordata; Crocodylia; Alligatoridae
Exons: 2
Source: RefSeq, a predicted model, not a curated record
CCAGGUGUUGUGCCAGCUGCAGGAGGCAGAAGUGGUGAGGGCCUGAUGCUUUUUUUUCUGCAGAGCCUGCCUGCCUCUCCUGCAGCCUGGUGGUGAGCUGACUAAUGACUGCAAUAUUCCAUAUUGUAUUGUUGCAACCUAAACUACAUCGGGAUGUAAUUUAAUUGAAAAAAUGCAAACUCAUUUUAAACCCAUAAAACACAGGUACGUGUAAUCUGUAACACCAUUAAGCCACACACAGUGAUGUACAUUUCAUCACAUGUACAUUGUGACAUUGUCUGGCACCCCAGAACUCUGAUUUAUUUCUCUUCCUGACUGUCAGUUUGUUUGGCAGGUCAUGUUCUGAAGAGCGUACAGUCCAAACAGACAAAAGCAAAGGUUCUGAGUAAUGUUAAUUUGCUAACUAGGGCAUUAGAUCCAUAAUUUAUAAGCUCCGUGUUGGUAAAGACCCUUUUUUCUUUAUCUAUCUGUGAAGUGCCUAACAUAAUGGGAUCCUGAUCAUAACUGGGACUAGUAAAUGCUGCUGCAAUACAGGAAAUACCUUACUGUUUUUUUGUUUUCCCUACAUCCCCCCAACCCUCCUACCUCUGUUUAGAUUAAUUAUUAUUUACGACAGUGCUGCAGUGCUGUGGGAUGCCUGGAGAUCCUUUCAGGGAUGCUGUGGGGUAUCACACAAUGUUAGCACUGUUACGCAUGCAAACAUGAUUCAGAAAAUAAAUUCAGAAAUUUCAAAUAGAAAUGUAGAGUGUUAAAACCAUUCUGCCCUGUUGUGUUUUUUCCUGAGGUUUUUUUCUGUAGUCAAAAUUGAGUGAAAACUAAGAGCUGACAUUUUCCAAGGAUACCUUGAGUCUACUGAGAGGAACUUGAGUCUAAAAAGGUUGACAACUACUGGUCUAGAUGAGUGGUUUUCAAAAUGUGUUCUUUGGAACCAUGUGAUUCCACCACAGGUCAUCAGGGAUUUUGCAAGGAAAUUUAAGGUACCUGUGGAACAAGCUGGGAGGUGGAGUGCCACCAUUGCCAGGCCGGGCUGCCUGGUUCCAUGUCUCCCUUUCGGAUAGGGGUAGGUUUUCUGCAGCAGCAGAAGUGAUAUGAAAGGGUUCCAUGACUUUAGGAAGUUUGAAAACCACUGGUUUAGAUGUUCCAUUGGCUUCACAUACUUCUCUCAGUCACUGAACCUCCUUCACUCCCAUGCCUGAGACACAGGUUAGGCUCUGGAGGAUAUUAAUAGUAUUUGUUAUCAUGAUAAAAAGACACUGAAGAGCAGAAACAUGUUGAGGAGGCUGAACUGUUUUGUGAACUCAAGAGAAACCUGUGUAAGCAGCAGACUAGUUGUAGCUCUUCAAGGGCUAAGUAGAGACAGUCAAAAAGUCUGAGACUGAAUUGAUUCAAUCUUUACAGGUUAGUCUAAGCUGCAUAGAUUGAACUGAUAAGCAAGUGGACAGACAUUCACUUUUGAUUCUGGAAGUACAGCUACAUGCCUGCAGUGCUCCCGGUUAGAAGCCAGGGGGUGCUAAAGCGUGCCACUCUGCUCAGCUGGAGCAGACAGCUUGGGCCAAGGCUACCCUGCCCACCCUGUGAGGUGGGGCUUGUGGGUGUGGUGCAAGGUAUCCCAGGAUGCUGGGGGACUGUGAGUUAACUUGAAUCUGGAGGGGAUCUGGGACAGAAGUUCAAUGAACUGGUUUGACCUAAAUCAGUUAAAUCUUAUACUACAUCCAUCCAGAUUUAUCUUAAACCAGUUUUGGCCAUUUUGAAAGUGGCUUAUGUGCACUGAACUUCUCUUGUGUUACAGACUUGAACUGGUUUCUAAUCAGUUAUGUCUGUUUAUGUGUAAUUUCUGUCCCUAGCUUAUAAGGCUCACAAAACACUUCUUACAGCAGCACACAUUCAUUAUGGUGAUUACUUAAAAUCCAGCUGUGAUUUUGAGAGCAAAACCCCACCUCCCACUCAGUUUUCACCUUUGAAAUACCCAAACUGCUCCUUUAACAGUAGAUCCAACACAAGUAGUUUAAACAUAAUCAUUGCUUUCUUUAAUGUGUCUCAGUAGCCAAGUAUCUAGAAGGAACUUGGAGAUCAGCAGUGACCAAUGCCUUCCCCAGAAUUAUACUCCCUCCUAGAGGCUUAUUGACAGAGCACAAGGGAUUUUAUUUUUCAGUCUAAGUGUGAAUGGGGUAAAGUCAGCAACAUUCUCAGAAAAAUUAGGAUAAUGAGUCACGGUUGUAAAACUCCUAGACAUUUCUUCCUUGGACUUCUGUGCAUUCCUUCUACCCUGCACUAUUAAGAUGGUAAGCUGUUCAGGGCAGGGACUUUGUCUACUUUUGAGUCCUGUACAGUGCUGGACAUACUGUUGGUGCUUACUCCAGCCUGUCUGUGUUCCCUUCGCCAUCUUACAAUAUAUUAUGGUGCUAUGAAAAUAAUCUAACAUAUAAUAUAACAGGAAUAGUUUCAAAUUUUGAAGAGCAUGCUAUGGCCACAGAUGUUGUUUGUGAAAGAUGUGAAAUAGAUGAGAAAUGGCACAGGAAGACCAGUCUAGCUUGUUCUAAGCUUGAAGGAAAAAGGAUAAUUUUAGUUUCACAUUAAUUUGUAUUCAAUUACAAUUUUUAUGAUUUUUUUCCAGUCCACCUAAUUUGAAGAGCAUGCUGCCUAUAGGAAGGAGUUACAGAGAUCCAAGAAGAAUGUAUUAGGUAUUGCCUAUGCCAGUAGACAGAUGUAGUAGGUGCACAACAGCGCCAACAUUUGUUUCUUCUGUGUUGCAUUCCUCAUAAUUUGGGCUCCUAGCAGAUACUGCUGCAAAACAAGUAAUAAAAUGGGUCUAAAAUGUUUACCCACCGAGGUGGGUUGUGAGAGUUAAUUGCCUAAUAUUUGUACAAAACACAUAUUGUUUGGGUAGGAUAUGAUCUGGGAAGCCAAGAAGAACUUCUAAGUAAAGAAAUAAAAUAUUCUCUAUAUAUAACUUUACCCCUUGAUUGUAGUAAUGGAAGCCCUCAAGGGAGUUUUCAAAGUGUCAUGACUUAUAUGAAAAGUAGGGCAAACAUAAGAUUGUGAGUAACUUGCCUCCUCCUGCACCUAAGAGGUGCUUGCCUUUUCUCCAGAGAUCUCUAGUAACAAGUUUGCUGAGAAAGUUUGACUGGGUCUGACAGAGCAAUCAUGUUACUGACUGAACUGGGAAAUAGUGCUAAAUUUUUUGCUGACUCAAGUCCAUCAAAGCAAACAAGGUUGUGCCUACUUAUGCCAAUGGCAAUAUUGACCUUGACUUUGACUUUGUUCAAAGUCAGAUUUGACUGAUUUUCUUUCUGCAAAAAUAGAAUAGCAAAUCACAUGUCUCCUGUACCUCUGUAACUCAAAUCAGCUCCUGCAUGUCUGAACCUGAGUCCAAGCCUCUGCUAGGGUUCUGAUUUCCUAUGAUCUGUUUUCAGAGGCAUAUGAUCUGAGUCAUGAUUUAAAACUCAGCAGAUACAAUAUUUUUGCAAAAGACAGGAAAUUCAUGCAUAUCAUACAUGGCAUUCAAUACUUCUCCCUCUGAAUUCAUGUGCAAGACCCCCAGUGCUUUUCACUGAAACAGGAUCAUUCUUAUUCAUGGUCCCUCAGUUCCAAAUUAAAGAAUGUUUCAGGAGAUUUAGUAUUGUGGAAUUAUAAUUUUUUUUGAUUUUAUAAUCCCAGAUGGCAUAAAUGACUGCACUGAAAGUUCAGGAUCCUCUUGCUUUCACUACAAUAACAUCCAUCUAGUGAACAGUUGAUAGAAUUAGGAAAUAAUUUCUCUAUGUUUUCCAUAGCUUUUUACUUCGAAUCUAAAUUUAGAAUUUGACUUUGACUGAAAGGUGCCUAGUAAAGAUACACACCACCCAGCAGUUGGUGACCCCAUCUUACUUACAUGAGACACCUCAAGGCUCUGGAAAAAUACCAUCGACACUGCCUGUGGAAGACAGAUGCACCAACAUUAGCGUCCUCUUGCAAGUAAACACUGAGCAUUGAGGCAAUGAUCAUCCAACAUCAACUUUGCUGGGCCAGCCACACCAUUUGGAUGUCUGACUCCAGACUUAUGAACAAAUUUUAUUCUCCCAGGUCAGUCAAAGCGUACACUCAAGAAGAGGGCAGAGAAAGAGCUUCAAGGAUGUCCUCAAGGCCAACUUUAAAAAAUGCAACAUCAAUAUGAACUCAUGGGAGACUAUCUCACAGGACUGCCUCAAAUGGAGGAAGAGUUUGCUACAAGGAUCUCAGUACUUCGAAAGCUUACAACAAUAACAACAGGAGACAAAAAAGUGGGAGUGGCAGAAUUAGUGUAUUGAGGACCAAAUCAAGAAUCUGGAGCUACUCACUCCACAUGGAAACAUGUGCCCGAGUUGCAACAGAGUCUGUCGAUCCCAGGUCAGCUUUGUCAGCCAUCCUUGGACCCACAGAUAAAACUAUCAUGGAAGACAUCAUUCUUGACUGUGAGGGAUUGCUGAUACACUUAUAUUUAUUAAUUAAAGGGAUAGUCUACAUAUAAAGCUGUGAUAUUUAUCCAGUUACAAGUUUUCCUUAAUAAAAGUAUACAUGUAGAUUUAUAAA